RNAcentral lists this ribosomal RNA (480 nucleotides) under uncultured Bacteroidota bacterium. Its description in RNAcentral is "bacterial SSU rRNA". It matches the Rfam family "Bacterial small subunit ribosomal RNA", at positions 28 to 505 of the family's 1533-position model. The record is from RNAcentral. Lineage: Bacteria; Pseudomonadati; Bacteroidota.
GAUGAACGCUAGCGGCAGGCUUAAUACAUGCAAGUCGAACGGUAAGGCCCAGCUUGCUGGGUACACGAGUGGCGGACGGGUGCGUAACGCGUACACAACUUACCUCUUAGUGGGGCAUAACCUCUGGAAACGGUGGAUAAUUCCCCAUAGCAAUAUGGAAUGGCAUCAUUUUAUAUUUAAAGCUCCGGCGCUAAGAGAUGGGUGUGCGUCCCAUUAGCUUGUUGGUGAGGUAACGGCUCACCAAGGCAACGAUGGGUAGGGGGCGUGAGAGCGUGGCCCCCCACACGGGCACUGAGACACGGGCCCGACUCCUACGGGAGGCAGCAGUAAGGAAUAUUGGUCAAUGGAGGCAACUCUGAACCAGCCAUGCCGCGUGAAGGAUGACGGCCCUAUGGGUUGUAAACUUCUUUUAUUAGGGAAGAAACCCUCUGAUUUAUCGGAGGCUGACGGUACCUAACGAAUAAGCACCGGCUAACUCCG